Molecule: ribosomal RNA, 579 nt
Filed under: uncultured Veillonella sp.
Lineage: Bacteria; Bacillati; Bacillota; Negativicutes; Veillonellales; Veillonellaceae
Description: bacterial SSU rRNA
Rfam family: Bacterial small subunit ribosomal RNA
Source: RNAcentral
GACGAACGCUGGCGGCGUGCUUAACACAUGCAAGUCGAACGAAGAGCGAUGGAAGCUUGCUUCUAUCAAUCUUAGUGGCGAACGGGUGAGUAACGCGUAAUCAACCUGCCCUUCAGAGGGGGACAACAGUUGGAAACGACUGCUAAUACCGCAUACGAUCUAAUCUCGGCAUCGAGGAUAGAUGAAAGGUGGCCUCUACAUGUAAGCUAUCACUGAAGGAGGGGAUUGCGUCUGAUUAGCUAGUUGGAGGGGUAACGGCCCACCAAGGCGAUGAUCAGUAGCCGGUCUGAGAGGAUGAACGGCCACAUUGGGACUGAGACACGGCCCAGACUCCUACGGGAGGCAGCAGUGGGGAAUCUUCCGCAAUGGACGAAAGUCUGACGGAGCAACGCCGCGUGAGCGAUGACGGCCUUCGGGUUGUAAAGCUCUGUUAAUCGGGACGAAAGGCCUUCUUGCGAAUAGUGAGAAGGAUUGACGGUACCGGAAUAGAAAGCCACGGCUAACUACGUGCCAGCAGCCGCGGUAAUACGUAGGUGGCAAGCGUUGUCCGGAAUUAUUGGGCGUAAAGCGCGCGCAGGC